This is a long non-coding RNA of Sander lucioperca (pikeperch), 152 nucleotides long. RefSeq lists it as uncharacterized. The transcript is spliced from 3 exons. NCBI's taxonomy places the organism in Eukaryota, Metazoa, Chordata, Actinopteri, Perciformes, Percidae. The record is from RefSeq and is a predicted model, not a curated record.
GGGGGGUCUGAAAACCAGUCAGUAUCUGGUGUUAGAACACCUAUCCAAAGUGCCAGACGCCAUCGAAUGUGAGCAUUUGCCCACUCAAGUCGGUUACGACGACGAACUGCAGUCAGGUCAAAACCCGAUGAGGACGACGAGCAUGCAGAUGA